Molecule: long non-coding RNA, 2482 nt
Filed under: Olea europaea subsp. europaea
Lineage: Eukaryota; Viridiplantae; Streptophyta; Magnoliopsida; Lamiales; Oleaceae
Source: RNAcentral
CCAAAUUUCAAUUUCCAUAAUCUACUGGAAUCCUAUUCCAAACAUAUAUAAACGGGCAAGAAUAGUAUGGUACUAGAGGGAAGAAAAGAAGAAAAAACUUGCAAAACAAAUAUCCACAAUCCACAGGAAUUUACAAGUAAGCCACUAUAAUUACAAGUAUCACAAUAUGCGAAUGCUUAAGUGUAUUGUACCAUUAAUAAUUCAUUACACUAUGUGCAUUCACAACGUAACUCGAACGAUAUUAUCAACUGAGGCCACUGCAACUAGUUUCUUUCAAAUCAGAACAAUUCAUAAGUUUUACAUUGUAUUCAUCACAUAAAACCCUGCAACCUAAGCUAACCGUCAAUUUGCCCAGGCAAAACAGGUAGGAUUUUCAUGUUGGGUGAUUGUGAGUUGGAUAUCGACAUCAGCUUAGACCUAUAUUUCUCGUCUCCAUCGUGCUUGAGAGGUUGGACAACUUUCUCAUUGUCCAAUUUUUUAGGUGACUCUUCAGUAAUGAACUCAGUCUCCGGUAGUCGGUAAGAGAUGGCAAUCAAUGACUCACGAGUCACGUCAUCGGGAACCUCCUUGCAGGGCUCUUUCUUGUCCAUAAAAUGACGUUAUUUGUCCUGCAAUAUAUGAUGGUGAUUGUUCAACUAGAAAAGAUGAUUGUAAAAUAUAUGGUAGGAAAAUACUAGUAUACACAAUCCAAUACCAAGUCAUUUGAGCGCAACUUGAAUACAAAUUUGGCAUUAAUCAAAAGUACUCAACAUCAAAAGUUGAUCUACGUAUAGUCAAUUUGUAGAGUUAUGCAGUGUUUCUAAAAGCAACAUGGUAGCUGAAUUCAUGACAGCAUGAUGGGCAAUCUGAGUUCAUAGCUCUGAUGCAAGCUUCUCUAAUAUCAAUAUCAGUCCAAUAAUUACUAAUCUUUUUUACCCUGAUUGUAGUUAAGAAGAGGUGUCAUAAUGGUUUUUGGUCUAACUACCAUUUUGAUUGAUCCACAUAACUCUUUUACAACCUCUUAAGUAAAUUUUCCAACAUUAACCCAAUAUACAAGCAACUAAGACAGAAAAUUACAUUAAUAUUGAACAGAUCAAUUUUAAUCCAACCCCGUAACUCACUUCCAUUCAAAUCUUAGCAAUUAGUUGCUCAACUCCUGCUAGAGACCAUGUAAAGCAGGCGGAUUCAACUGGUAAGCAAAGAAUAGAUGGAGAGUUUUUUUUGUACCGAGAGAUGAAGUGGACAUUGAAUGUCAACCAGUGCAAGUAGGGAAUUCUUGAUUCUGAAGGGCUUGGAAGAACUUACCAGCACAAAAGCAAUUUCAAGUAGGCUGAUGUAAACAUUUUUUAACGCUCCUCAAUAACAGACGACAAAAAACUGGAAACUUUUGUAAACAGAAUUUAAGAUUCCUAAAAGACCGAGUCACGUUGAACAGUAGUAACAUCACAGGUGAGAGGAUAAGAUCUAGAUUUGAGCUAAAGGUUAAACGAAGUCACAUAUAGUCAGAGUAAGUAGAUCUUACUGAAGCCUAAUUCCUUUUAGGCACUUAGCAAAUUUUGAUAAGGAUGAUGAAGAAGAGAUCAUAAAAAAGUUAGGUUAUACAAGGACAACGAAGACAAGAGAACUUAGUAUCAAAAUAUAACCUGGUGAUAAUUUCCAAUUGGAUAUCAUUUAUCAUCCAAUUCUGCUGGACAAUGGAAAUUACCAAGAUACUUUACGUGUAAACUUCCUUUGAAUGAAAUCAAUGCAAGUCAUUGUUAUAACGUUUUAGAAUCAAAGAAGUUGUGCAACUAUCAGUUUUGAAAACCAAUAGCAAUUCUUCAAUUGGAUAUAAAUACAUAAAUUUAUAAAGAUUCCUCCGUCCCAUAAAGAUAGGCUUACUUUCAUUUUUCGUCUUUCCCAAAUUAUAAGCCACUUUCCUUAUUGAGAUUAUAGUUAACUACUUAAUUUUCUAAUAUACCCCUAUUUAAUGUACAUCGUUAUCAACAAAUAUGAACAAGUCCUAUUCAGACCAUUAUUUAAUAUAGGGGUAUAUUAGAAAAAUAUAAGAAAAACUUAUAUUUCCAACUAUAUUAAUUACAUUUUCUUAAUUUCUGUAAAAUAGAAACAAGCCUAUCUUUGUGAGACACAGGGAGUAUCAAUAAUUUAAUUUAUGAAGCCAACGACUUUCAUAACAAUUAUAAUUGUCAAAAAAAAUAAAAAAAUCAAAAUCAAAAUAAAAAAUCAAAUCAUCAAUUCUAAAAACAAUUAAAACAAUAUUUCCAAGGUGUGACUUUGAUAUCUGUGUUUCUAUUCACUAACCUUUUUUUUCUCAUUAUUCAUAACUACUAUUCACUUUGUUUUCCCCCAUCAGAAACUUCUCUCCCCAUUGAAAAUCCCCACAUAAUAUCACUUUGAAAAUUAAAACAUCUUCAACUAAAUGCCAUGCCAAGAUUGCUUCUUCACCAAGAUGGGUUUCGAAAACUGGAGUUAGUUACGAAGAAUUUGGAGAUAUAUAUAUAUA